Molecule: small RNA, 29 nt
Filed under: Bombyx mori (domestic silkworm)
Lineage: Eukaryota; Metazoa; Arthropoda; Insecta; Lepidoptera; Bombycidae
Description: ovarian small RNA-30285
Source: RNAcentral
UCUUUUACAAGUGCCAUUUUUCAUUUUUC